GAUGAACGCUGGCGGCGUGCCUAAUACAUGCAAGUCGAACGCUGGAGAUCUAGCUUGCUAGAUCGAAGGAGUGGCGAACGGGUGAGUAAUACAUAAGCAACCUACCCACGAAGACUGGGAUAAUCUCUGGAAACGGGGACUAAUACCGGAUAGGUAAUCGGAAGGCAUCUUCUGGUUAUUAAAGGUUAAAAACACUGGUGGAUGGGCUUAUGGCGCAUUAGUUAGUUGGUGAGGUAACGGCCCACCAAGACGAUGAUGCGUAGCCGGCCUGAGAGGGUGAACGGCCACAUUGGGACUGCGACACGGCCCAGACUCCUACGGGAGGCAGCAGUAGGGAAUUUUCGGCAAUGGGGGCAACCCUGACCGAGCAACGCCGCGGGAGUGAAGACGGCCUUCGGGUUGUAAAGCUCUGUUGUAAGGGAAGAACGGUAGAUAGAGAAUAUCUAAGUGACGGUACCUUACCAGAAAGCCACGGCUAACUACGUG
This 486-nucleotide ribosomal RNA is filed under the name uncultured bacterium. Its description in RNAcentral is "partial 16S ribosomal RNA". It matches the Rfam family "Bacterial small subunit ribosomal RNA", at positions 28 to 507 of the family's 1533-position model. The record is from RNAcentral.